CCGGGGGUGCCUAUACAUGCAAGUCGAACGCUUUGUGGUUCAACUGAUUUGAAGAGCUUGCUCAGAUAUGACGAUGGACAUUGCAAAGAGUGGCGAACGGGUGAGUAACACGUGGGAAACCUACCUCUUAGCAGGGGAUAACAUUUGGAAACAGAUGCUAAUACCGUAUAACAAUAGCAACCGCAUGGUUGCUACUUAAAAGAUGGUUCUGCUAUCACUAAGAGAUGGUCCCGCGGUGCAUUAGUUAGUUGGUGAGGUAAUGGCUCACCAAGACGAUGAUGCAUAGCCGAGUUGAGAGACUGAUCGGCCACAAUGGGACUGAGACACGGCCCAUACUCCUACGGGAGGCAGCAGUAGGGAAUCUUCCACAAUGGGCGAAAGCCUGAUGGAGCAACGCCGCGUGUGUGAUGAAGGGUUUCGGCUCGUAAAACACUGUUGUAAGAGAAGAAUGACAUUGAGAGUAACUGUUCAAUGUGUGACGGUAUCUUACCAGAAAGGAACGGCUAAAUACGUGCCAGCAGCCGCGGUAAUACGUAUGUUCCAAGCGUUAUCCGGAUUUAUUGGGCGUAAAGCGAGCGCAGACGGUUAUUUAAGUCUGAAGUGAAAGCCCUCAGCUCAACUGAGGAAUUGCUUUGGAAACUGGAUGACUUGAGUGCAGUAGAGGAAAGUGGAACUCCAUGUGUAGCGGUGAAAUGCGUAGAUAUAUGGAAGAACACCAGUGGCGAAGGCGGCUUUCUGGACUGUAACUGACGUUGAGGCUCGAAAGUGUGGGUAGCAAACAGGAUUAGAUACCCUGGUAGUCCACACCGUAAACGAUGAGUGCUAGGUGUUUGAGGGUUUCCGCCCUUAAGUGCCGCAGCUAACGCAUUAAGCACUCCGCCUGGGGAGUACGACCGCAAGGUUGAACUCAAAGGAAUUGACGGGACCCGCACAAGCGGUGGAGCAUGUGGUUUAAUUCGAAGCACGCGAGAUCUUACAGUCUUGACAUCCCUUGACACUCAGAGAUGGAGCGUUCCUUCGGGACAGGUGACAGUGGUGCAUGGUUGUCGUCAGCUCGUGUCGUGAG
This 1066-nucleotide ribosomal RNA is filed under the name Weissella cibaria. RNAcentral's name for it is "bacterial SSU rRNA". It matches the Rfam family "Bacterial small subunit ribosomal RNA", at positions 39 to 1071 of the family's 1533-position model. The record is from RNAcentral. Lineage: Bacteria; Bacillati; Bacillota; Bacilli; Lactobacillales; Lactobacillaceae.